GAUGAACGCUAGCGGCAGGCUUAACACAUGCAAGUCGAGGGGUAUUGGUUUUCGGACCAAGAGACCGGCGCACGGGUGCGUAACGCGUAUGCAAUCUACCUUUUGCAGAGGGAUAGCCCCAGAGAAAUUUGGAUUAAUACCUCAUAGUAUAGUACUUUGGCAUCAAGGAACUAUUAAAGUCACAACGGCAAAAGAUGAGCAUGCGUCCAUUAGCUAGUUGGUAAGGUAACGGCUUACCAAGGCUACGAUGGGUAGGGGUUCUGAGAGGGAGAUCCCCCACACUGGUACUGAGACACGGACCAGACUCCUACGGGAGGCAGCAGUGAGGAAUAUUGGACAAUGGGCGCAAGCCUGAUCCAGCCAUGCCGCGUGCAGGAUGACGGUCCUAUGGAUUGUAAACUGCUUUUAUACAGGAAGAAACACUACUUCGUGAGGGAGCUUGACGGUACUGUAAGAAUAAGGAUCGGCUAACUCCGUGCCAGCAGCCGCGGU
Molecule: ribosomal RNA, 492 nt
Filed under: uncultured bacterium
Lineage: Bacteria
Description: bacterial SSU rRNA
Rfam family: Bacterial small subunit ribosomal RNA
Source: RNAcentral